RNAcentral lists this ribosomal RNA (240 nucleotides) under uncultured bacterium. RNAcentral describes it as "partial 16S ribosomal RNA". It matches the Rfam family "Bacterial small subunit ribosomal RNA", at positions 15 to 244 of the family's 1533-position model. The record is from RNAcentral.
GAUCCUGGCUCAAGGUGAACGCUAGCUACAGGCUUAACACAUGCAAGUCGAGGGGAAACGACAUCGAAAGCUUGCUUUUGAUGGGCGUCGACCGGCGCACGGGUGAGUAACGCGUAUCCAACCUGCCCAUCACUUGGGGAUAACCUUGCGAAAGUAAGACUAAUACCCAAUGACGUCUCUAGAAGACAUCUGAAAGAGAUUAAAGAUUUAUCGGUGAUGGAUGGGGAUGCGUCUGAUUAG